UACGUAGGGGGCAAGCGUUGUCCGGAAUUAUUGGGCGUAAAGAGCGUGUAGGCGGCCAGAUAAGUCCGCUGUGAAAUCUCGAGGCUCAACUUCGAGCUGUCGGUGGAAACUAUCUGGCUAGAGUCCGGAAGAGGAGAAUGGAAUUCCUGGGUGUAGCGGUGAAAUGCGCAGAUAUCAGGAAGAACACCCGUGGCGAAGGCGGUUCUCUGGGACGGUACUGACGCUGAGACGCGAAAGCGUGGGGAGCGAACAGG
RNAcentral lists this ribosomal RNA (254 nucleotides) under uncultured bacterium. Its description in RNAcentral is "partial 16S ribosomal RNA". It matches the Rfam family "Bacterial small subunit ribosomal RNA", at positions 524 to 776 of the family's 1533-position model. The record is from RNAcentral.